CCGUUUCGAUCUGCUGCGGACAAAUGAAAUGAAUAUGGCUGUCGAUGCCGCCCGCCGUCACGAUUUUCCCUUCGCCGGCAAUCACCUCCGUGCUGGCGCCGACCACCAUAUUGGCGCUCACGCCGUCCAUCAGAUCGGGGUUGCCGCCUUUGCCGAUACCGACGAUGACGCCGUCGCGCAGGCCGAUAUCCGCCUUCACAAUGCCCCAAUAGUCGAUGAUGACCGCGUUUGUAAUCAGCGUAUCCAGUACGCCUUCACUGCGCAGCGCUCCACUCGACUGGCCCAUUCCGUCGCGA
This 296-nucleotide small RNA is filed under the name Paenibacillus darwinianus. Its description in RNAcentral is "5' ureB small RNA". It matches the Rfam family "5' ureB small RNA". The record is from Rfam by way of RNAcentral. Lineage: Bacteria; Bacillati; Bacillota; Bacilli; Caryophanales; Paenibacillaceae.